GCGGAAGUAGCUCAAUGGCAGAGCAUCAGCUUCCCAAGCUGAGGGUUGCGGGUUCGAGUCCCGUUUUCCGCU
RNAcentral lists this transfer RNA (72 nucleotides) under Bacteroidales bacterium. RNAcentral describes it as "tRNA-Gly". It matches the Rfam family "tRNA". From Rfam's summary of the family: Transfer RNA (tRNA) molecules are approximately 80 nucleotides in length. Their secondary structure includes four short double-helical elements and three loops (D, anti-codon, and T loops). Lineage: Bacteria; Pseudomonadati; Bacteroidota; Bacteroidia; Bacteroidales. The record is from RNAcentral.